This is a small nucleolar RNA of Moschus moschiferus (Siberian musk deer), 130 nucleotides long. The record is from Ensembl. Lineage: Eukaryota; Metazoa; Chordata; Mammalia; Artiodactyla; Moschidae.
CUAGCACUUUCACAGAUCCUCCUCGGGCAGUGGGGCCAGGAUUUGGGAGCUGGUCCUGAAAUUGAAAACCCUUGAUUAUAUCCUUGCCCUGGGACUGUGUCAGUGACAGCUGUCACUCAGUGGGACGGAG